CUACGGGUGGCAGCAGGCGAGAAAACUUUGCAAUGUGCGAAAGCACGACAAGGUUAAUCCGGGUGGUUUGUGCUAAACGAACCUUUUGACAGUCCUAGAAACACUGUUGAAUAAGGGGUAGGCAAGUUCUGGUGUCAGCCGCCGCGGUAAAACCAGCACCUCAAGUGGUCAGGAUGAUUAUUGGGCCUAAAGCAUCCGUAGCCGGCUCUGUAAGUUUUCGGUUAAAUCUGUACGCUCAACGUACAGGCUGCCGGGAAUACUGCAGAGCUAGGGAGUGGGAGAGGUAGACGGUACUCGGUAGGAAGGGGUAAAAUCCUUUGAUCUAUUGAUGACCACCUGUGGCGAAGGCGGUCUACCAGAACACGUCCGACGGUGAGGGAUGAAAGCUGGGGGAGCAAACCGGAUUAGAUACCCUUGUAGUC
Molecule: ribosomal RNA, 422 nt
Filed under: uncultured archaeon
Lineage: Archaea
Description: partial 16S ribosomal RNA
Rfam family: Archaeal small subunit ribosomal RNA
Source: RNAcentral